GUGCUCACUUUGGCAGGACAUACACUAAAAUUGGAAUGAUACAGAGGAGAUUAGGAUGGCCCCUGCACAAGGAUGAUACAGAAAUUCAUGAAGUACUCCAUAUUUUU
Molecule: small nuclear RNA, 107 nt
Organism: Molossus molossus (Pallas's mastiff bat)
Lineage: Eukaryota; Metazoa; Chordata; Mammalia; Chiroptera; Molossidae
Source: RefSeq, a predicted model, not a curated record